GCUCGUAGUUGGAUUUCGGGUGGGUUUCAGCGGUCCGCCUAUGGUGAGCACUGCUGUGGCCUUCCUUACUGUCGGGGACCUGCUUCUGGGCUUCAUUGUCCGGGACAGGGAUUCGGCAUGGUUACUUUGAGUAAAUUAGAGUGUUCAAAGCAGGCUUACGCCGUGAAUACUUUAGCAUGGAAUAACACGAUAGGACUCUGCCCUAUUCUGUUGGCCUGUAGGAGUGGAGUAAUGAUUAAGAGGAACAGUCGGGGGCAUUCGUAUUUCAUUGUCAGAGGUGAAAUUCUUGGAUUUAUGAAAGACGAACUACU
RNAcentral lists this ribosomal RNA (311 nucleotides) under Scenedesmus fuscus. RNAcentral describes it as "SSU rRNA". It matches the Rfam family "Eukaryotic small subunit ribosomal RNA", at positions 626 to 944 of the family's 1831-position model. The record is from RNAcentral. Lineage: Eukaryota; Viridiplantae; Chlorophyta; Chlorophyceae; Sphaeropleales; Scenedesmaceae.